GCAGUCGAGCGGUAGCACAGAGAGCUUGCUCUCGGGUGACGAGCGGCGGACGGGUGAGUAAUGUCUGGGAAACUGCCUGAUGGAGGGGGAUAACUACUGGAAACGGUAGCUAAUACCGCAUAAYGUCGCAAGACCAAAGUGGGGGACCUUCGGGCCUCAUGCCAUCAGAUGUGCCCAGAUGGGAUUAGCUAGUAGGUGGGGUAACGGCUCACCUAGGCGACGAUCCCUAGCUGGUCUGAGAGGAUGACCAGCCACACUGGAACUGAGACACGGUCCAGACUCCUACGGGAGGCAGCAGUGGGGAAUAUUGCACAAUGGGCGCAAGCCUGAUGCAGCCAUGCCGCGUGUGUGAAGAAGGCCUUCGGGUUGUAAAGCACUUUCAGCGGGGAGGAAGGCGUUAAGGUUAAUAACCUUGKCGAUUGACGUUACCCGCAGAAGAAGCACCGGCUAACUCCGUGCCAGCAGCCGCGGUAAUACGGAGGGUGCAAGCGUUAAUCGGAAUUACUGGGCGUAAAGCGCACGCAGGCGGUCUGUCAAGUCGGAUGUGAAAUCCCCGGGCUCAACCUGGGAACUGCAUUCGAAACUGGCAGGCUAGAGUCUUGUAGAGGGGGGUAGAAUUCCAGGUGUAGCGGUGAAAUGCGUAGAGAUCUGGAGGAAUACCGGUGGCGAAGGCGGCCCCCUGGACAAAGACUGACGCUCAGGUGCGAAAGCGUGGGGAGCAAACAGGAUUAGAUACCCUGGUAGUCCACGCCGUAAACGAUGUCGAUUUGGAGGUUGUGCCCUUGAGGCGUGGCUUCCGGAGCUAACGCGUUAAAUCGACCGCCUGGGGAGUACGGCCGCAAGGUUAAAACUCAAAUGAAUUGACGGGGGCCCGCACAAGCGGUGGAGCAUGUGGUUUAAUUCGAUGCAACGCGAAGAACCUUACCUGGUCUUGACAUCCACAGAACUUUCCAGAGAUGGAUUGGUGCCUUCGGGAACUGUGAGACAGGUGCUGCAUGGCUGUCGUCAGCUCGUGUUGUGAAAUGUUGGGUUAAGUCCCGCAACGAGCGCAACCCUUAUCCUUUGUUGCCAGCGGUUAGGCCGGGAACUCAAAGGAGACUGCCAGUGAUAAACUGGAGGAAGGUGGGGAUGACGUCAAGUCAUCAUGGCCCUUACGACCAGGGCUACACACGUGCUACAAUGGCAUAUACAAAGAGAAGCGACCUCGCGAGAGCAAGCGGACCUCAUAAAGUAUGUCGUAGUCCGGAUUGGAGUCUGCAACUCGACUCCAUGAAGUCGGAAUCGCUAGUAAUCGUAGAUCAGAAUGCUACGGUGAAUACGUUCCCGGGCCUUGUACACACCGCCCGUCACACCAUGGGAGUGGG
This 1364-nucleotide ribosomal RNA is filed under the name Klebsiella pneumoniae. Its description in RNAcentral is "bacterial SSU rRNA". It matches the Rfam family "Bacterial small subunit ribosomal RNA", at positions 57 to 1414 of the family's 1533-position model. The record is from RNAcentral. Lineage: Bacteria; Pseudomonadati; Pseudomonadota; Gammaproteobacteria; Enterobacterales; Enterobacteriaceae.